ACGAACGCUGGCGGCGUGCUUAACACAUGCCAGUCGAACGGUGAAGCGCCUUCCUUUUUGGUGGGUGUGGAUGAGUGGCGAACGGGUGAGUAACACGUGAGUAACCUGCCCCCUUCUUCUGGAUAACCGCAUGAAAGUGUGGCUAAUACGGGAUAUUCUGGGUCUGUCGCAUGAUGGGUCUGGGAAAGAUAUUGUUUCGGUGGGGGAUGGGCUCGCGGCCUAUCAGCUUGUUGGUGGGGUGAUGGCCUACCAAGGCGGUGACGGGUAGCCGGCCUGAGAGGGUGGACGGUCACACUGGGACUGAGACACGGCCCAGACUCCUACGGGAGGCAGCAGUGGGGAAUAUUGCACAAUGGGCGCAAGCCUGAUGCAGCGACGCCGCGUGAGGGAUGGAGGCCGUCGGGUUGUGAACCUCUUUCGCCAGUGAAGCAGGCCUGCCUCGUUUGUGGGUGGGUUGACGGUAGCUGGAUAAGAAGCGCCGGCUAACUACGU
Molecule: ribosomal RNA, 492 nt
Filed under: uncultured bacterium
Lineage: Bacteria
Description: partial 16S ribosomal RNA
Rfam family: Bacterial small subunit ribosomal RNA
Source: RNAcentral